RNAcentral lists this ribosomal RNA (700 nucleotides) under uncultured bacterium. Its description in RNAcentral is "bacterial SSU rRNA". It matches the Rfam family "Bacterial small subunit ribosomal RNA", at positions 409 to 1105 of the family's 1533-position model. The record is from RNAcentral.
AGACGUCUUUCGGGAUGUAAACUUCUGAAUUUACUGGAUAAAGGGUAGAGUAAGCUCUACAGAUGAAGGUAAGUAAAGAAAAGCCCCGGCUAACUACGUGCCAGCAGCCGCGGUAAGACGUAGGGGGCGAGCGUUGCCCGGAAUCACUGGGCGUAAAGGGAAAGUAGGCGGUCUAGCAAGUCAGAUGUGAAAUGUCAUGGCUCAACCAUGGAAUUGCGUUUGAAACUGCGAGACUUGAGGAUACCAGAGGAAGGCGGAAUUACUUGAGUAGAGGUGAAAUUCGUAGAUACAAGUAAGAAGGCCAGUGGUGAAGACGGCUUUCUGGGGUAAUCCUGACGCUGAGAUUCGAAAGCUAGGGGAGCGAACCGGAUUAGAUACCCGGGUAGUCCUAGCCGUAAACGAUGUUUACUAGGUGUGGGUAGAGAUAUCCGUGCUGAAGCGAACGCGACAAGUGAACCGCCUGGGGAGUACGUCCGCAAGGAUGAAACUCAAAGGAAUUGACGGGGGCCCGCACAAGCGGUGGAGCGUGUGGUUUAAUUCGAAGCUAAGCGAAGAACCUCACCAAGUCUUGACAUAUAUCUAGUACCGAACCGAAAGGUAAGGGACCCGUGCUUGCAUGGGAGGAUAUACAGGUGGUGCAUGGUCGUCGUCAGCUCGUGCCGUGAGGUGUUGGGUUAAGUCCCGCAACGAGCGCAACCCU